GACGAACGCUGGCGGCGUGCUUAACACAUGCAAGUCGAACGGAAAGGCCCUGCUUUUGUGGGGUGCUCGAGUGGCGAACGGGUGAGUAACACGUGAGUAACCUGCCCUUGACUUUGGGAUAACUUCAGGAAACUGGGGCUAAUAUCGGAUAGGAUCUCCUGCUCCAUGGUGGGGGUUGGAAAGUUUCGGCUGUUGGGGAUGGACUCGCGGCUUAUGAGCUUGUUGGUGGGGUAGUUGCUUACCAAGGGUUCGACGGGUAGCCGGCCUGAGAGGGUGAACGGCCACCAUGGGACUGAGGUACGGCGCAGAAUCCAACGGGAGGCAGCAGUGGGGAAUAUUACGCAGUGAGCGGAAGCCUGAUGCGGCGGCGCCGCGUGCGGGAUGACGGCCUUCGGGUUGUGAACCGCUUUCGCAUGUAACGAAGCGUGAGUGACGGUAAUGGGUAAAAAAGCACCGGCUAACUACGUG
This 468-nucleotide ribosomal RNA is filed under the name uncultured bacterium. RNAcentral describes it as "partial 16S ribosomal RNA". It matches the Rfam family "Bacterial small subunit ribosomal RNA", at positions 28 to 507 of the family's 1533-position model. The record is from RNAcentral.